UCUUUUCAAGACACCUCGGGUCAAGGGAAGAGGGUGAGAAACCCUCGCGGUCCCGCCGCUGUAAAUGGGGACGAAACCCGCAGGCGCCACUGCUCACCGUUCGGUGAGUGGGAAGGCGCGGGGAGUAGGAUGAACCAUAAGCCAGAAGACCUGCCUGAGGGAGACCCUUUAU
RNAcentral lists this non-coding RNA (172 nucleotides) under Nitrospira defluvii. The record is from RNAcentral. Lineage: Bacteria; Pseudomonadati; Nitrospirota; Nitrospiria; Nitrospirales; Nitrospiraceae. RNAcentral also lists the same sequence under 1 other name.